AUCAUAAACAACAACCUCUUCUUCACUACACACCGAAAUAAGGAACACAACUUCAUCCAUAUUACAUGUGAAGGCUUUAGACCAAGACACGCUACAACCCCAAUGUAAGUACUCACUAUACCUCCCAAUCGCUUUUGAGUCAUGGCAAAUAUCUAAAGUUUUAAUGAGAAAAAAAAGAAGAGGAGGAAACCUCAGACUUUACGUCACAGCCCGUGACUUUAGAUUUUGACUCAGCUAAAGUAAAACAGAUCUAGUUUUUGUGUUUCACGGUAGCAUAGCAUUAGUAGCAGAGAGAUGAGAAGAUAAAGACUACACACAGUCACACAGUGUUCACACUACACUCCACACUUUCCCACCCCUCUCUCUCUCUCUCUCUCUCUCUUGUUUGUUCCUUCUUUCUUCUCCCACUGGUCCUUUUCUCUUUCUCAUCCUUAAAACAAAUCUCUCUGCAAUAGCAAGCAUCACCCCCUUUCUUUUGUCCAGAAAUGCACACAGUCACACACUAUUCACACUACACUCCACAACCCCACUAGACUCCCCAUAUUUCUUGUUUCUUCCUUCUUCCUCCUCACUAUAUGUCCUUUUUCUUAAUUUCAUCCAUUUAACAAAUCUCCUCUGCAAAUAUGGAUCUCAAGAAAUACACACAAUCACACAGUCCAUCACAAACCUGUGCAAAUAUGUAUCUUUGAUACUCACCCCUUUCUUCCUCAAGAGAUGCACACAGUCACACAGUACACUCCAGACUCCACACUCCGACCAGUUGCCAUUCUUGUUUCUUCCUUUUUAUUUUUUCAUUCAUAAAUCUCUCUGCAAAUAUGCAUCUUUAACUCUAUCAACAUCACGACAGUCACAAAAUAGUGUUUGAUUAUUCCUUCUUCUUCCACAUUAGUCCAUUUCUUUAAUCAAUAAACAAAUCUGUCUGCAAAUUUGUAUCUCUAAACUCUUCCAAGUCACCCCUUUCUUCUUCAAGAGAUACACACAGUCACUAUUCUUGUUUGUUCCUUUUUCUUCCACAGGUCCAUUCGUUUCACCCCAAUAACAAAUCUCUCUGCAAAUAUGCACGUCUAGCUUUUCAAAGAUCACACCUUUACUCAAGAAAUGCCUCCAGAAAACCCAUUUCCGCCUCCUCUAACCACCCUACCUGUCUUCCCCACCACCUACCUACCUCCCCCGCCACCCCCACCACCCUCGUACCAUCACCAUUCUCACUCCCCUCUCAUCCCACCCUUUAUAGCUGCUGCUUUUGCCUUGACAUUCUUCAUUGUUGCUGCCAUCAUUUACCGCAAAGUGUCACGCAAUAGGACUGUUCCUACAGAUCUGAAGUC
Molecule: long non-coding RNA, 1325 nt
Filed under: Nicotiana tabacum (common tobacco)
Lineage: Eukaryota; Viridiplantae; Streptophyta; Magnoliopsida; Solanales; Solanaceae
Description: long non-coding RNA (NTAB_LNC007614)
Source: RNAcentral